GGUGUAACACGGCUAUAGUCAGGCAUUACAAGAUUAAGUCCUGCUAUAAAGGUCUAAAGCCCUUGUAAACAGUGGAUAGCACU
RNAcentral lists this non-coding RNA (83 nucleotides) under unclassified sequences. The record is from RNAcentral.